This 839-nucleotide unclassified non-coding RNA is filed under the name Hevea brasiliensis (rubber tree). The record is from RNAcentral. Lineage: Eukaryota; Viridiplantae; Streptophyta; Magnoliopsida; Malpighiales; Euphorbiaceae.
CCCCACUCCUCUCCUCUCCUACAUUACCCAUUUUGCCCCUCUCGAAACCCUAACCCUAAGAGAUGAAGGGCGCGAAAUCGAAGACCGACACCGCUAAGGUCACCAAGAAGGCCGAAGCCAAGGUGGCACCGAAGAGGAAGGCGGCGGAGAAGCCGAGCAAGGCCGCUAAGCCGGCGAAGAAGGGGAAGGCCGGCGUUGACCCCAACAAACCCAAGCGCCCUGCCAGCGCCUUCUUCGUGUUCAUGGAGGAGUUCAGGAAGGAGUUCAAGGAGAAGAACCCCAACAACAAGGCCGUCUCUGCUGUGAGCAAGGCUGGGGGAGACAAGUGGAAAUCAAUGUCUGAUGCUGAUAAGGCACCCUAUCAGGCUAAGGCCAACAAGCGUAAGACUGAGUACACCAAGAACAUGGACGCCUACAACAAGAAACAGAAGACUGCUCCUGCGGCUGCAGAGGAGGACGAGGAGGAGUCUGACAAGUCGAAGUCUGAGGUGAAUGAUGAUGAGGAUGACGAGGAGGAGGGAAGUGGUGAUGAUGGCGAUGAGGAGGAUGAGGAUGACGAGUAGAGACUAGUGUGUUGAAGGAGAAGAUUUGCACUGAACUGGAGGUUUUUCUUUUUUGUUUAAGCUGUUUUUGAUGUUUUCUGUUGGAAUGGGAGAAGGAACAGAAGUAGUGUUAGCAUUAUCUUUGUAGUCUUGGCAUUACUAUUGGUCUUUAUGCAUAUGAGAUCGAAAGUGGUGGUGAGACUCUCCCUAACUGCCUUGUAGCAACUCUUUGCUUUACUCUCUUGUUCAUCAAUGGGGAUAUGUAUCUAGUUUCCUGAACUAUUUGGAAUGGAACUU